This 158-nucleotide ribosomal RNA is filed under the name Aspergillus ochraceus. Its description in RNAcentral is "5.8S ribosomal RNA". It matches the Rfam family "5.8S ribosomal RNA". From Rfam's summary of the family: 5.8S ribosomal RNA (5.8S rRNA) is a component of the large subunit of the eukaryotic ribosome. It is transcribed by RNA polymerase I as part of the 45S precursor that also contains 18S and 28S rRNA. RNAcentral also lists the same sequence under 5 other names. The record is from RNAcentral. Lineage: Eukaryota; Fungi; Ascomycota; Eurotiomycetes; Eurotiales; Aspergillaceae.
AAAACUUUCAACAAUGGAUCUCUUGGUUCCGGCAUCGAUGAAGAACGCAGCGAAAUGCGAUAAUUAAUGUGAAUUGCAGAAUUCAGUGAAUCAUCGAGUCUUUGAACGCACAUUGCACCCCCUGGUAUUCCGGGGGGUAUGCCUGUCCGAGCGUCAUU